AGAGUUUGAUCUUGGCUCUGAAUGAACCCUAGCAACCGGCUUUAGACAUGCAAAUCGAGUGUUUAAAUCCACAACAUCGUCCAUUACGGAUGUUAUUGAUGAUGAUUUAAAAACGGUGUACGAGUGAGUAAUUAAUAUGAAGCUAUCCACGAGAUACGGUAACUCCGUUCUACGAAAAAAUUUGCUUGUGGAGGCGCAUAUUAAGGAUUAGGAAUGUUGGUGGGAUAAUAGCUUACCAAACCGAGAAUCCUUAGUCAUCUUUAGAGGGAGAAUGGCCACGCCGGAACUGAAACAAGGUCCGGGCUCAUCUGAGCCAGCAGUCGGGAAUAUUGGACAAUGAGCGAAAGCUUGAUCCAGCAAGGUUGCGUGAGGGAAGAAGGUCAAUUGACCGUAAACCUCUUUCAUCGAGGAAGAAUUAUGACAGUACUCGAAAAAGAAGCUCCAGCCAAUCUCGUGCCAGCAGCUGCGGUAAUACGGGAGGAGCGAGGGUUAUUCAUGAUGAUUGGGUGUAAAGCAGGACAAGGCGAUAAGUACAAGUUUUAUCUUUACCAAAAGCUUCACUUGAGGAAAAAUUUAAAAAACUAACUUAACAGAGGAAUUAUAGAGUUGAAUGCGGAACUAUCGGGGUAGAGGUGUAAUUCGUUUCAUCUCGAUAGGAACACCAAAGGCGAAAAGCAGCCAACUACUAAUUACCUGCCGCUCUACCUGUAAUCUGAGGUAGCAAACCGGAUUAGAUACCCGGGUAGUCUCAGACGUCAACGAUGGACGCUCGUUGGGAAUUCCAUAAAUAAUAUUAUUUAUGCUCCUAACUCAGCUAACGCGUAAGCGUCCCACCUAGUAAGUACACCCGCAAGGGUGAAAACUAAAUAGAAUAGGCUGUGCUAUAAACGACCAGAGGAACAUGCAACUUAAUUUGAUAUUACGCGACAAACCUUACCUAGGCUUGUAUUUUUGUUGAAGGGAGAUAUACGUUAAGCGCACAUCUACUGACCCUACAUAUUUAUGUGUGUAUGGUCUAUAAACAAAAACACGUUUUGCAUGAUCGUAUUCAGCUCGAUGUUGUGAAAUGUUAGGUUAAGUCCUUUAACGAGCGCAACCCAUGUCUUUAGUUGGAAUAAAUGAUAUUGAAAUAUUAAUUUAUUAAGAGUUGGCAGUUUUAAUUGCUACUUAACCUCUCUAGAGAAACUGCCGUGGAAAAAGCGGAGGAAGGAGUGGAUGACUACAGAUCACCAUGAACGUUAUGCUUAGGGCUGUAAGCGUGUUACAAUCGAAUUGACAAAGGGAAGCAACGAAGAAAUUCAUUGCGAAUCCUUAAACAAUUUCGUUAAUUAGGAUCGAAGGCUGCAACUCGCCUUCGUGAAUCUGGAUUUGGAAGUAAUCGUGGAGGAGUGCGCCACGGUGAAUAGGAAAAUAUAGCAAUUACUUCUUGCCCAGCACGCCUCAAGAGUGAAUUUAAUUAAAGGUUAAAACGCACAGAUGCGCGUUGCGUGUUUGUUUUUUCGA
Molecule: ribosomal RNA, 1503 nt
Filed under: marine metagenome
Description: bacterial SSU rRNA
Rfam family: Bacterial small subunit ribosomal RNA
Source: RNAcentral